GCUCCCAUCGUUCAGCCCGGUCAAGGACGCUGGCCUUUCAAGCCGGUAACACGGGUUCAAAUCCCGUUGGGAGCA
Molecule: transfer RNA, 75 nt
Filed under: Microcaldota archaeon
Lineage: Archaea; Nanobdellati; Microcaldota
Also listed under: 2 other names
Description: tRNA-Glu
Rfam family: tRNA
About the family: Transfer RNA (tRNA) molecules are approximately 80 nucleotides in length.
Source: RNAcentral